This 446-nucleotide ribosomal RNA is filed under the name uncultured bacterium. Its description in RNAcentral is "partial 16S ribosomal RNA". It matches the Rfam family "Bacterial small subunit ribosomal RNA", at positions 354 to 796 of the family's 1533-position model. The record is from RNAcentral.
GUGGGGAAUAUUGGGCAAUGGAGGCAACUCUGACCCAGCCAUGCCGCGUGAAGGAUUGACGGCCCUCUGGGUUGUAAACUUCUUUUGUACGGGAAUAACCCUCCGGACGUGUCCGGAGCUGAAGGUACCGUAAGAAUAAGGAUCGGCUAACUCCGUGCCAGCAGCCGCGGUAAUACGGAGGAUCCAAGCGUUCUCCGGAUUUACUGGGUUUAAAGGGUGCGUAGGCGGAUUAAUAAGUCAGUGGUGAAAGCCGGCAGCUUAACUGGAGAACUGCCAUUGAUAGUGUUAGUCUGGAGUAUGGUUGAGGUAGCUGGAAUGUGUCAUGUAGCGGUGAAAUGCUUAGAGAUGACACAGAACACCGACGGCGAAGGCAGGUUACCAACCCAUUACUGACGCUGAGGCACGAAAGCGUGGGGAUCAAACAGGAUUAGAAACCCCGGUAGUCC